AGAGUUUGAUUAUGGCUCAGGAUGAACGCUAGCGGCAGGCUUAACACAUGCAAGUCGAGGGGCAGCACGGGUAGCAAUACCUGGUGGCGACCGGCGCAAGGGUGCGUAACGCGUGAGCAACAUGCCCUAUACAGGGGGAUAAACCAGGGAAACUUGGACUAAUACCCCAUAGCAUUUAUUUAUGGCAUCAUGAAUAAAUUAAAGCUUCGGUGGUAUAGGAUUGGCUCGCGUGACAUUAGCUAGAUGGUGAGGUAACGGCUCACCAUGGCGAUGAUGUCUAGGGGUUCUGAGAGGAAGGCCCCCCACACUGGGACUGAGACACGGCCCAGACUCCUACGGGAGGCAGCAGUGAGGAAUAUUGGACAAUGGAUGGAAAUCUGAUCCAGCCAUGCCGCGUGCAGGAAGACGGCCCUAUGGGUUGUAAACUGCUUUUAUACGGGAGCAAUAAGGUCUACGUGUAGACUGAUGAGAGUACCGUAUGAAUAAGCAUCGGCUAACUCCGUGCCAGCAGCCGCGGUAAUACGGAGGAUGCGAGCGUUAUCCGGAUUUAUUGGGUUUAAAGGGUGCGUAGGCGGCCUUGUAAGUCAGCGGUGAAAUUUUGCAGCUUAACUGUAAAAGUGCCGUUGAUACUGUGAGGCUAGGAUUUGGUUGCUGUGGGUGGAAUGUGUGGUGUAGCGGUGAAAUGCUUAGAGAUCACACAGAAUAUCGAUUGCGAAGGCAGCUCACAAAGCCAAGAUUGACGCUGAGGCACGAAAGUGUGGGGAUCAAACAGGAUUAGAUACCCUGGUAGUCCACACUGUAAACGAUGAUAACUCGCUGUCGGCGAUAUACAGUCGGUGGCCAAGCGAAAGCGAUAAGUUAUCCACCUGGGGAGUACGACCGCAAGGUUGAAACUCAAAUGAAUUGACGGGG
RNAcentral lists this ribosomal RNA (912 nucleotides) under uncultured Bacteroidota bacterium. RNAcentral describes it as "bacterial SSU rRNA". It matches the Rfam family "Bacterial small subunit ribosomal RNA", at positions 8 to 918 of the family's 1533-position model. The record is from RNAcentral. Lineage: Bacteria; Pseudomonadati; Bacteroidota.